RNAcentral lists this unclassified non-coding RNA (1142 nucleotides) under Hevea brasiliensis (rubber tree). Lineage: Eukaryota; Viridiplantae; Streptophyta; Magnoliopsida; Malpighiales; Euphorbiaceae. The record is from RNAcentral.
AAACUUGUCUCGGAAUGAAUUGGUCAGCUAAUCAAAGCUUUCGACCGAUCCCACCAAGAACCAUUGAUAUCAUUUUUGAGCAAGCCCUGUUAGGGUGGUCGGAAAAACUUUGCAUAUCUAAAAUGGGCAAUUUAAAUUUUGGUAGAAAAAUUUCAGCUAGUAUCGUCUCACAAAGAGGAGACCUAUCACCUAUGCCAAAACCAUCAUCAUUGAGAUGCUUUUGGUACUUUUUGAUUGCCUGGGCAAUCUUUUGACUCAACACAGUAUCCUCAAUAUUCGAUUCCUCCUCUUUAGAGUAUUCCUAUUUUGAUUUGCCUUUACUGUCUCCAUAUCUAUCUUCCUGAGGAUGUUUCCCAGGAAGCAUCAUUGGCGGAAGUGGAGGGGGAAGUGGUGGUGCUGGAGUUGUUGGUGCACUUCCUUUAUCGGGUUGCUCAUAUUCUUUUCUUAAAGAGUGCCAAUAUUGUCUCCAUUUCUUUAAUUUUCAAGAACAUGGGGUCUUAGGAGGAGUCUGUGUUUUUUCCUACUGGAAUUUCCUGAUUAUGGACCACUAAUGGAGCUUUUCUCCCCUCAGUCCAAGUCUCCACAUUGUCAGCUAUAGCCUCUGAUCUUGCCCUUCCAGAAUGCAUUCCUGUCUUAGCCAUUGGAGAUUAACAAAACUAGUUAACAAAAAGGACAAAACCCGAAAAACCCAAGAAAACCAGCAACAAAAAUGAAAUGAUCAAAAAUGAAAAUUUUAUUCCCACAGCGUCACUGAUGUUGCCUGGAAUCCUUAGGUAAGAACUUGAUUAGAUGGUGCCUGAAAUCAAAGAGAAAAGAUGAGGUCAGUGGCUUGAGUUAGGCCACUUUGACGCUCAAGUCAGCAAAUGCCAAGAAAGCAAAUACAAUCAAAAAGUAAGAGAAUUUUGUACUUUCCAUAUUAUUGUGACCCUUAUUUAUAGUGGAGGAAAGUACCUCUUCUGGAUUAAUCGGGAUUUUAUGCUAACCAUAGUUAUCAAGGCGCUAAGAUGUUCUGGUGCCUAAGCACAAAGCGCAAGGCGUAGGCGUGCGCCAAAGCUAGGCAAGGGGCAAAAGUAAAAGAAAAUAUUGAAAAUUUAAAAAACUAUAAAUAUGCUAUCACGUCUCAAGUAACAUAAAACUACAUA